AAUCUCCAAUAAUAUAUAUAUUUUUUGCUUCUGUUAGGAUUUUCCUAUUCCCGUUGCUUUGGUUGAGAACAGUGGGAGAUGCAACAAGAAUGAAAAUGAUGAGAAGAUCCUCACAACUGGGCUUCCUUGGAUUCCCAAUUUGGUUCAUACAAUUACAGACAUCGCCUUAAAUGGGAGCAAGAGUGUUGUUGUUGACAAGAAGUUGAUUGAAGGGCCAAAUGCUAAUGAUAGGGGGAAGUUAUUUAUCCCUCUCAUCUUAUUAUUCGAGUACCUCUUUAUUGUCAAACCGAUUCAAAAGUGGAUCAAAGACGAUAUUGCAAGAGAGACUAGACCCUCAUGGGAAUGAAUAAGCAUAUCUGGGAACUUUUUUCGUAGUGUCAUUGUUUCCCUCCACCCCUGUAUUUCACCGUUUCCCAAUUCUUGGUGCGUCAUUGGUGUCAUCCACCUUGCUCCGGCUGUCGAAUUUAAUUUAAAGUUUUACUUUGAGAGCUUUCUUUUCUAUUUUUUGUUUAGUCUUGACUAUUAUGCUUCUUUGUUCUGAAUGACUUGAAAUCAAACUUUGUACUUCUGUUAGUGGGUUUUUUGGUUUUCUGGACAUUAUGGUUGUAUUCUACUUAAUCAAAAAUUUAAUGACACUUUUAUAAUUAAUUUA
Olea europaea var. sylvestris is the source of this 652-nucleotide long non-coding RNA. RefSeq lists it as uncharacterized. The record is from RefSeq and is a predicted model, not a curated record. NCBI's taxonomy places the organism in Eukaryota, Viridiplantae, Streptophyta, Magnoliopsida, Lamiales, Oleaceae. The transcript is spliced from 3 exons.